AGCAGCCGCGGUAAUUCCAGCUCCAAUAGCGUAUAUUAAAGUUGUUGCAGUUAAAAAGCUCGUAGUUGAAUUUCGAGAUCAAUUUGUUGGUCGUGCCUCGGUACGUACUGGCAAUUUUGAUUUCUCCCUUCUGAAGAACCAUGAUGUCAUUAAUUUGGUGUCAUGGGGAAUCAGGACCGUUACUUUGAAAAAUUAGAGUGUUUAAAGCAGGCUCGCGCUUGAAUACAUUAGCAUGGAAUAGUGAAACAGGACGUUUGAUUCUAUUUUGUUGGUUUCUAGGAUCGACGUAAUGAUUAAUAGGGAUAGUUGGGGGCAUUAGUAUUCAAUUGUCAGAGGUGAAAUUCUUGGAUUUAUUGGAGACUAACUACUGCGAAAGCAUUUGCCAAGGAUGUUUUCAUUAAUCAAGAACGAAAGUUAGGGGAUCGAAGACGAUCAGAUACCGUCGUAGUCUUAACCAUAAACUAUGCCGACUAGGGAUCGGAUGAUGUUAAUUUUUUAAUGUACUCAUUCGGCGUACCCG
This 520-nucleotide ribosomal RNA is filed under the name uncultured Glomus. RNAcentral describes it as "SSU rRNA". It matches the Rfam family "Eukaryotic small subunit ribosomal RNA", at positions 569 to 1089 of the family's 1831-position model. Lineage: Eukaryota; Fungi; Glomeromycota; Glomeromycetes; Glomerales; Glomeraceae. The record is from RNAcentral.